RNAcentral lists this ribosomal RNA (468 nucleotides) under uncultured bacterium. Its description in RNAcentral is "partial 16S ribosomal RNA". It matches the Rfam family "Bacterial small subunit ribosomal RNA", at positions 28 to 507 of the family's 1533-position model. The record is from RNAcentral.
GACGAACGCUGGCGGCGUGCUUAACACAUGCAAGUCGAACGGAAAGGCCCUGCUUUUGUGGGGUGCUCUAGUGGCGAACUGGUGAGUAACACGUGAGUAACCUGCCCUUGACUUUGGGAUAACUUCAGGAAACUGGGGCUAAUACCGGAUAGGAUCUCCUGCUGCAUGGUGGGGGUGGGAUAGUUUCGUCGGUUGGGUAUGGACUCGCGGCUUAUCAGCUCGUUGGUGGGGUAGUGGCUUACCAAGACGUUGACGGGUAGCCGUCCUGAGAGGGUGACCGGACACAUUGGGACUGAGAUAAGGCCCAGACGCCUACGCGAGGCAGCGGUGGGGAAUAUUGCACAAUGGGCGGAAGCCUGAUGCAGCAACGCAGAGUGCGGGAUGAAGGCCAUCGGGUUGUAAAGCGAUUUCGCUUGUGACGAAACGUGAGUGACGGUAAUGGGUAAAGAAGCACCGGCUAACUACGUG